Small nuclear RNA from Cricetulus griseus (Chinese hamster), 107 nucleotides. The record is from Ensembl. NCBI's taxonomy places the organism in Eukaryota, Metazoa, Chordata, Mammalia, Rodentia, Cricetidae.
GUGCUCGCUUCAGCAGCACAAACACUAAAAUUGGAACGAUACAGAGAAGAUUAGCAUGGCCCCUGUGCAAGGAUGACAUGCAAUUUCGUGAAGCGUUCCAUAUUUUU